GACGAACGCUGGCGGCGUGCUUAACACAUGCAAGUCGAACGGAAAGGCCUGCUUUCCCUUGUGGAUUGCGGGUACUCGAGUGGCGAACGGGUGAGUAACACGUGAGUGAUCUGCCCCCAACUUGGGUAUAAGCCUGGGAAACUGGGUCUAAUUCCCGAUAGGACUGCAGGGUGGUGCCUGUGGUGGAAAACGAUUUUCUAGAGGUUGGGGAUGAGCUCGCGGCCUAUCAGCUUGUUGGUGGGGUAAUGGCCUACCAAGGCGGCGACGGGUAGCCGGCCUGAGAGGGUGGACGGCCCCAUUGGGACUGAGAUACGGCCCAGACUCCUACGGGAGGCAGCAGUGGGGAAUAUUGCACAAUGGGCGGAAGCCUGAUGCAGCGACGCCGCGUGGGGGAUGACGGCCUUCGGGUUGUAAACUCCUUUCGACCGCGAGGAAGCCACCUGGUUGGAAGGGUGGUGACGGUAGUGGUGGAAGAAGCACCGGCUAACUACGUG
Molecule: ribosomal RNA, 494 nt
Filed under: uncultured bacterium
Lineage: Bacteria
Description: partial 16S ribosomal RNA
Rfam family: Bacterial small subunit ribosomal RNA
Source: RNAcentral